This 74-nucleotide transfer RNA is filed under the name Coriobacteriales bacterium. RNAcentral's name for it is "tRNA-Trp". It matches the Rfam family "tRNA". From Rfam's summary of the family: Transfer RNA (tRNA) molecules are approximately 80 nucleotides in length. Their secondary structure includes four short double-helical elements and three loops (D, anti-codon, and T loops). Further hydrogen bonds mediate the characteristic L-shaped molecular structure. tRNAs have two regions of fundamental functional importance: the anti-codon, which is responsible for specific mRNA codon recognition, and the 3' end, to which the tRNAs corresponding amino acid is attached (by aminoacyl-tRNA synthetases). tRNAs cope with the degeneracy of the genetic code in two manners: having more than one tRNA (with a specific anti-codon) for a particular amino acid; and 'wobble' base-pairing, i.e. permitting non-standard base-pairing at the 3rd anti-codon position. The record is from RNAcentral. Lineage: Bacteria; Bacillati; Actinomycetota; Coriobacteriia; Coriobacteriales.
AGCCCCUUAGCUCAACGGAAGAGCGACGGUCUCCAAAACCGAGGACGGGAGUUCGACACUUCCAGGGGCUGCCA